GGCUUACCAUGCAGUCGAGGGGCAGCAUUUCAGUUUGCUUGCAAACUGGAGAUGGCGACCGGCGCACGGGUGAGUAACACGUAUCCAACCUGCCGAUAACUCGGGGAUAGCCUUUCGAAAGAAAGAUUAAUACCCGAUAGUAUAAUGAAACCGCAUGGUCUUAUUAUUAAAGAAUUUCGGUUAUCGAUGGGGAUGCGUUCCAUUAGGCAGUUGGUGAGGUAACGGCUCACCAAACCUUCGAUGGAUAGGGGUUCUGAGAGGAAGGUCCCCCACAUUGGAACUGAGACACGGUCCAAACUCCUACGGGAGGCAGCAGUGAGGAAUAUUGGUCAAUGGGCGCAGGCCUGAACCAGCCAAGUAGCGUGAAGGAUGACUGCCCUAUGGGUUGUAAACUUCUUUUAUAUGGGAAUAAAGUUUUCCACGUGUGGAAUUUUGUAUGUACCAUAUGAAUAAGGAUCGGCUAACUCCGUGCCAGCAGCCGCGGUAAUACGGAGGAUCCGAGCGUUAUCCGGAUUUAUUGGGUUUAAAGGGAGCGUAGGUGGACAGUUAAGUCAGUUGUGAAAGUUUGCGGCUCAACCGUAAAAUUGCAGUUGAUACUGGCUGUCUUGAGUACAGUAGAGGUGGGCGGAAUUCGUGGUGUAGCGGUGAAAUGCUUAGAUAUCACGAAGAACUCCGAUUGCGAAGGCAGCUCACUGGACUGCAACUGACACUGAUGCUCGAAAGUGUGGGUAUCAAACAGGAUUAGAUACCCUGGUAGUCCACACAGUAAACGAUGAAUACUCGCUGUUUGCGAUAUACAGUAAGCGGCCAAGCGAAAGCAUUAAGUAUUCCACCUGGGGAGUACGCCGGCAACGGUGAAACUCAAAGGAAUUGACGG
RNAcentral lists this ribosomal RNA (877 nucleotides) under uncultured bacterium. RNAcentral's name for it is "bacterial SSU rRNA". It matches the Rfam family "Bacterial small subunit ribosomal RNA", at positions 45 to 916 of the family's 1533-position model. The record is from RNAcentral.